AAUUAAAUAAAAGUUCAAGGUUCCUCUUUGAGGAUGAAAAGGGAAGUCGGUGAAAAUCCGGCGCGGUCCCGCCACUGUGAACCAUGAGUGCCCCUCAAUAACCCACUAGAUAAUUCCGGGAAGGGAAGGGGCGUGAUGACUGGAAGCCAGGAGACCUGCCUUGAAUUGUUAUAUUCA
Regulatory RNA element from Desulfitobacterium dichloroeliminans LMG P-21439, 177 nucleotides. The record is from Rfam. Lineage: Bacteria; Bacillati; Bacillota; Clostridia; Eubacteriales; Desulfitobacteriaceae.